GCUUGCUUUUGAAGGUCAGCGGCGGACGGGUGAGUAACACGUGGGCAACCUGCCUGUAAGACUGGGAUAACUUCGGGAAACCGGAGCUAAUACCGGAUAAUAUAAGGAACCUCCUGGUUCUUUAUUGAAAGAUGGUUUCGGCUAUCACUUACAGAUGGGCCCGCGGCGCAUUAGCUAGUUGGUGAGGUAACGGCUCACCAAGGCGACGAUGCGUAGCCGACCUGAGAGGGUGAUCGGCCACACUGGGACUGAGACACGGCCCAGACUCCUACGGGAGGCAGCAGUAGGGAAUCUUCCACAAUGGACGAAAGUCUGAUGGAGCAACGCCGCGUGAGCGAUGAAGGCCUUCGGGUCGUAAAGCUCUGUUGUUAGGGAAGAACAAGUGCGAGAGUAACUGCUCGCACCUUGACGGUACCUAACCAGAAAGCCACGGCUAACUACGUGCCAGCAGCCGCGGUAAUACGUAGGUGGCAAGCGUUGUCCGGAAUUAUUGGGCGUAAAGCGCGCGCAGGUGGUCCUUUAAGUCUGAUGUGAAAGCCCACGGCUCAACCGUGGAGGGUCAUUGGAAACUGGGGGACUUGAGUGCAGAAGAGGAAAGUGGAAUUCCAGGUGUACG
This 616-nucleotide ribosomal RNA is filed under the name Bacillus sp. SCULCB PT-27. Its description in RNAcentral is "bacterial SSU rRNA". It matches the Rfam family "Bacterial small subunit ribosomal RNA", at positions 78 to 679 of the family's 1533-position model. The record is from RNAcentral. Lineage: Bacteria; Bacillati; Bacillota; Bacilli; Caryophanales; Bacillaceae.